This is a non-coding RNA of Arachis ipaensis, 2069 nucleotides long. The record is from RefSeq and is a predicted model, not a curated record. Lineage: Eukaryota; Viridiplantae; Streptophyta; Magnoliopsida; Fabales; Fabaceae.
UUAUUUAUGGCAAAAUAUGAAAUCCCCAUUGAUUAAUGUUAGUUUAAAUUCUUAAGCCCAAUUGUCCAAACACAUGGCCCGUCCCUAACCUACUUUGAUUAAAUCCAAACAAAUUUAACUCUAAACAAAAACUUGUCCAAAAAAAUUAGAAGAGGAAGAAGAGUGAGAAUGAAACCCUAGAUCUACUCGCCGCCACCGUAUUCAUCUCUUCGCCAUUGUCACCAUCAAUCUCGCCGUAGCAUUUGAGAUCAGAGGGAGAGUAACUGGCGACGCCCGCGACGCCAUCCUUGCCGACAUCCAGGAGCAGGUUUCCAUCCUCAACUCCACUUUCUCAUGGAAGGAGUCAGAUCGAGCCGCCGCCAAGUGCGCCACUCACGUGCUCGUCGAUCUUGCCAAAAACGAAGAAGUGGUGAACGUGAUUGUUGAAGGUGGAGCAAUUCCAGCUUUGGUUUAGCACCUCCAAGCUCCUCCCGUGACAGAAGAAGACCUCGUUCAGAAGCUGUUGCCGUUUAAGCAUGAGGUUGAGAAAGGGAGUACUUUUGCACUUGGACUUCUUGCCGUCAAGAGUGAUUCCUAAAGCUCUGUUGCAUUGUGAGGUACAAUUCCAUCUUUAGUUACUAUAUGAUCAUGUAUGUGAAUCUUUUGAUCCGAAUUUUUGCUUAUGAAAAGCUUAUGCUGAUCAAAUCCCUCGUUUAGAUAUCUGGAGAAACCUUUGGAAAAGUAAAAACAGUUGUGCAAACAUGCAUGAAAGGAAGUCAAUAAUGGCUAAACACGCUGAUGCAUUCAUAACUCUUCCUGGUGCAGGAUGUUCCAAGACAUGACGUAAAUCAUGUCCAUGAAGAAGAAUAAGUUUAGAAGUAUGUUUUAACAUCCUCAUCAUCCCUUAAUGCAUGUAUAUCUCCAAAUACUUGGUGUGGGGUUGAGAACAAAUUUGAAACGUCUCAAACACCCUAUGUACGAGAGGCUAGUUUUUGAUGCUGUUAGUUAUUUAAUAUCUAAAGAUAGAGAUGAUGACGUGGCUUAUGAAUUACAUGCUAAAGUGAGUUCACCUUCAUAUAUAGUUUUCCCUUAAUUCAUUGUUCUUUUUCUAUAUCUAUGCUUAUUUAUCUAUAACAGUUAUGUUCUACUUAAUAACUGAGCUUUUAUUCUCGAGUUUGAGGACUAGUUGUUACUCAUGCUUGGAAAAUUCAAUAUUAAAUUUUGACUUAUUUUAUUUGGUAUGCUACAGCCCUACUGCAUAUUCCUGCACUAUGAGUGUUUAAUAGAAAUACCAAUACACCAAUUGACGGGAUUUGAAUGAUCUGCUAACAUAAAAUAUAUACAUGCAUUUGCUUAGGUUUCUUCUAUUUCUGGAAUUAAAGUGGGUACUGAUUUUUUUCUCGCCAGUUUUUUGCUAUUGCUUUUGAAUAAGUGCUUGUUGAGGUAAGAUAAUAAUCAUAUCCUGUUUUAUUGUAAAUAUGUUAGAAGUCUAUUAUAACUUUGUAGUUUAUUCCCUGUUCUGAAAAGAAAAUGAGUGUGAACAGAAAGGGAAAAAGCAAAGAAAAUGUCCCUAUUCUGUUGUGAAUUUUUCAUUCUCUUAAUCUAUACUGCUUUCACCCUUUUUCUGGCACCAUUUUGUUUCAACCUCUUUUCUAGUUCCAACCUAAUUUCUGAAAACUUUAAAUUAUUUAGUAUAAAAUUUCUCCUGUAUCUUGAUUCCUUUAUAACAUUGGAUACGGGUUAGCCAUAAUGUUAUGUAUUUGAUAUCAUGAAAUGAAUAGAGUAAUUGGUUAUUGAUUUUGUUUUCAUGGUUAUUUGAAGUUAGGGUUGCAAACAUUGAAAAUGCUUGCAUAAUUGUGUAGGUAUGAGUUCCAAGGUUUACCAGAUGCAUUCUCUCCUUCAGUUCCAAGGUCUUUUGGGAUUGCAUUCAUAUUUUCAUUUUGAGAUUUUUAUGUAAUUAAAAUUUAGAUGAUAUUGAAAUAUUGAAAUUGUUGUUUUAUUUUACUUUUUAAAGAAAAACAGUAAUAGUUAUGUAGAAUAAUACCAUAUGCAAUUAUGUUUGGAACUAUUGAUGUUGGGAAUUUUUUAUA